CUCACAGCCAUGAGGAGUGGCUAAGUAAACAUCUGCUCUCGGCAGGGCCCUCUGAGAUCAGGCACAGCCAUCAACAGUGGCUGCAUGCCUCUCAUGCUUCUGAGUUACGUUUGUCCUGCUUCUGAGAAGAUCAGCCACUUCAGAAUGAACCAAUUAAUACAAUCGCUAGGUGCCCUCCUGUAGUACCUCUGUGAGGUUUGAAGGACUUGCCCUGAUGAACCUCCACUUCCCUGUAAUUCCCUAUAAGAUCUGCAGCACAAAGCUGUGAAGGUGCUGGUCAGGGGUGGAAUGCAACUGAUGCUGUCACCAGACUCUAAUCCCAAUAUCUCCCAGAUAUUCCACAGAUACCACAUUCUAACCAGAAUAAUCUGCAUCAUCUAAAGGGUUUAUGAUAUGUGGCUGUGGGACUGGACCAAUAUGAGCCCACAGAAGCCUGCAUACUUGGAACCACUUGGUGGGAUCAAUGUCAUUAGGAGACACAACUAUAAAUGCUGUCAUUCAACCCAGCUUGAAUGAAUAACAAAGAACAUGCUCCAGGAGGAUAAAGAACAGAGCAUCUCCUUGGUUUGUGCAGGCUUCCCACUGCAGCUGCCAUGCAGCAGAAACUGAAUGAUUCCAUAAAGUCAAGAAAUAACCAUGAUGGCUCUUCGUAAGCGAUCACUGGAGGUCCAGGGCAGUGUUCCCGGCCUGCCUCACAUAGGACGGUGAGGGGCUUCCACAUUAAGGACUCAGAAAUUUCUAACACUUUACAAGAGGGAGGAGUGAACAGCAAGUGGUUUGGAAAUCACAAAUUUGUAGGAGCUCAGCAAGUGCUACUUAGGUCUAAGGGACACAGGGCAGGUUUGGAUUAAGAAAUGACACCAGUUUGGGGCCGGGCGCAGUGGCUCACGCCUGUAAUCCCAGCACUUUGGGAGGCCGAGGCAGGCGGAUCAUGAGGUCAGGAGAUCGAGACCAUCCUGGCUAACAUGGUGAAACCCCAUCUCUACUAAAAAUACAAAAACAAAGUUAGCCAGGCAUGGUGGCAGGCACCUGUAUUCCCAGCUACUCUCAAG
Molecule: long non-coding RNA, 1052 nt
Filed under: Homo sapiens (human)
Lineage: Eukaryota; Metazoa; Chordata; Mammalia; Primates; Hominidae
Description: HSALNT0293957
Source: RNAcentral